RNAcentral lists this ribosomal RNA (1547 nucleotides) under Actinomyces graevenitzii. Its description in RNAcentral is "Bacterial small subunit ribosomal RNA". It matches the Rfam family "Bacterial small subunit ribosomal RNA". The record is from RNAcentral. Lineage: Bacteria; Bacillati; Actinomycetota; Actinomycetes; Actinomycetales; Actinomycetaceae.
UUUGGAGAGUUUGAUCCUGGCUCAGGACGAACGCUGGCGGCGUGCUUAACACAUGCAAGUCGAACGAAAAUACCAAGCUUGCUUGGUUGAUUAGUGGCGAACGGGUGAGUAACACGUGAGUAACCUGCCCCUUACUUUCCUGGAUAACUGCUCGAAAGGGUAGCUAAUACGGGAUAUUCUGACUAGCCUGCAUGGGUUGGUUUGGAAAGGUUGUUUUUUCUGGUAAGGGAUGGGCUCGCGGCCUAUCAGCUUGUUGGUGGGGUGAUGGCCUACCAAGGCUUUGACGGGUAGCCGGCCUGAGAGGGUGGACGGUCACACUGGGACUGAGAUACGGCCCAGACUCCUACAGGGAGGCAGCAGUGGGGGAAUAUUGCACAAUGGGCGCAAGCCUGAUGCAGCGACGCCGCGUGAGGGAUGAAGGCCUUCGGGUUGUAAACCUCUUUCGUCAGGGAACAAGGCACUGUCUUUUUUUGGUGGUGUUGAGGGGUACCUGGAUAAGAAGCGCCGGCUAACUACGUGCCAGCAGCCGCGGUAAUACGUAGGGCGCAAGCGUUGUCCGGAAUUAUUGGGCGUAAAGAGCUCGUAGGCGGCUGGUCGCGUCUGUCGUGAAAACUUCCGGCUCAACCGGGGGCUUGCGGUGGGUACGGGCCGGCUAGAGUGCGGUAGGGGUAACUGGAACUCCUGGUGUAGCGGUGGAAUGCGCAGAUAUCAGGAAGAACACCGAUGGCGAAGGCAGGGUUACUGGGCCGUUACUGACGCUGAGGAGCGAAAGCGUGGGGGAGCGAACAGGAUUAGAUACCCUGGUAGUCCACGCUGUAAACGUUGGGCACUAGGUGUGAGGCUCCUUUCCGGGGGUUUUGCGCCGUAGCUAACGCAUUAAGUGCCCCGCCUGGGGAGUACGGCCGCAAGGCUAAAACUCAAAGGAAUUGACGGGGGCCCGCACAAGCGGCGGAGCAUGCGGAUUAAUUCGAUGCAACGCGAAGAACCUUACCAAGGCUUGACAUGUUAACCGUGGCUCUAGAGAUAGGGUUUACCCUUUUGGGUGGUUUUUCACAGGUGGUGCAUGGUUGUCGUCAGCUCGUGUCGUGAGAUGUUGGGUUAAGUCCCGCAACGAGCGCAACCCUUGUCCCGUGUUGCCAGCACGUUGUGGUGGGGACUCGCGGGAGACUGCCGGGGUCAACUCGGAGGAAGGUGGGGAUGACGUCAAAUCAUCAUGCCCCUUAUGUCUUGGGCUUCACGCAUGCUACAAUGGCCGGUACAGAGGGUUUGCGAUACUGUGAGGUGGAGCUAAUCCCUUAAAAGCUGGUCUCAGUUCGGAUUGGUGUCUGCAACUCGACACCAUGAAGGUGGAGUCGCUAGUAAUCGCAGAUCAGCAACGCUGCGGUGAAUACGUUCUCGGGCCUUGUACACACCGCCCGUCACGUCACGAAAGUUGGCAACACCCCAAGCCCGUGGCUCUACGGGGAGCGGUUAAAGGUGGGGCUAGCGAUUGGGACGAAGUCGUAACAAGGUAGCCGUACCGGAAGGUGCGGCUGGAUCACCUCCUU